Molecule: ribosomal RNA, 650 nt
Filed under: Cenophengus debilis
Lineage: Eukaryota; Metazoa; Arthropoda; Insecta; Coleoptera; Phengodidae
Description: partial large subunit ribosomal RNA
Rfam family: Eukaryotic large subunit ribosomal RNA
Source: RNAcentral
GGAGUCUAGCAUGUGCGCGAGUCAUUGGGACUCGUUAGCUAAACCUAAAGGCGAAAUGAAAGUGAAGGCGCGCCUCAAGCGCGCGCCGAGGGAGGAUGGGUGCGCCGCCCGAGGCAACGAGGGCGCGCGCGCUCCGCACUCCCGGGGCGUCUCGUUCUCAUCGCGAGAUGAGGCGCACCCAGAGCGUACACGCUGGGACCCGAAAGAUGGUGAACUAUGCCUGGUCAGGACGAAGUCAGGGGAAACCCUGAUGGAGGUCCGUAGCGAUUCUGACGUGCAAAUCGAUCGUCGGAACUGGGUAUAGGGGCGAAAGACUAAUCGAACCAUCUAGUAGCUGGUUCCCUCCGAAGUUUCCCUCAGGAUAGCUGGCGCUCGUCGAGCGCGAGUCUCAUCCGGUAAAGCGAAUGAUUAGAGGCAUUGGGGUCGAAACGGCCUCAACCUAUUCUCAAACUUUAAAUGGGUGAGAUCUCCGGCUUGCUUGAAGCAUGAAGCCGCGAGAUCGGAUCUAGAGUGCCAAGUGGGCCACUUUUGGUAAGCAGAACUGGCGCUGUGGGAUGAACCAAACGCGGAGUUAAAGCGCCUAAAUCGACGCUUAUGGGAUACCAUGAAAGGCGUUGGUAACUUAAGACAGCAGGACGGUGGCCAUGGAA